Molecule: transfer RNA, 53 nt
Filed under: Urtica mairei
Lineage: Eukaryota; Viridiplantae; Streptophyta; Magnoliopsida; Rosales; Urticaceae
Description: partial tRNA-Leu
Source: RNAcentral
AAUCCGUCAACUUUAAAAAUCGUGAGGGUUCAAGUCCCUCUAUCCCCAAAAAG